This 942-nucleotide small RNA is filed under the name Pan troglodytes (chimpanzee). RNAcentral describes it as "retained intron". Lineage: Eukaryota; Metazoa; Chordata; Mammalia; Primates; Hominidae. The record is from RNAcentral.
UGGGAAGGAGAGAAAAUGGCGGCGGAGCCGAACAAGACCGAAAUCCAGACUCUUUUUAAGAGGCUUCGCGCAGUUCCAACCAACAAGGCCUGUUUCGACUGCGGCGCCAAGAAUCCGAGUUGGGCCAGCAUCACGUACGGUGUUUUCUUGUGCAUUGACUGUUCCGGGGUGCACCGCUCCCUGGGCGUCCAUCUGAGCUUCAUCAGGUCCACAGAGUUGGAUUCCAACUGGAACUGGUUCCAGCUGAGGUGUAUGCAGGUCGGCGGGAAUGCCAAUGCGACGGCUUUUUUUCGCCAACAUGGAUGCACAGCCAAUGAUGCCAACACCAAAUAUAAUAGCCGAGCUGCCCAGAUGUACCGGGAGAAGAUCCGGCAGCUGGGGAGUGCGGCCCUGGCUAGGCAUGGCACUGAUCUUUGGAUAGACAACAUGAGUAGUGCCGUUCCUAAUCACUCCCCAGAGAAGAAGGACUCUGAUUUCUUCACAGAACACACUCAACCCCCUGCCUGGGAUGCGCCAGCCACUGAGCCUUCAGGGACCCAGCAGCCAGCCCCGUCUACAGAGAGCAGUGGCCUGGCACAGCCGGAGCAUGGCCCAAACACAGACCUGCUUGGCACCUCACCCAAAGCCUCACUGGAACUGAAAAGCUCCAUCAUUGGCAAGAAGAAGCCAGCAGCAGCUAAGAAAGGGGUAGGUGGGGAGAGGUGGUAUGGUAGAGGGGUUAGGAGCUGGGUGCAGGCUACCUGGGUUCACUCCUUGACCUUACCACUUACCAGCUAUAUGACUUUGGCAAAGGUACUGUGUUUCUCCGAACCUCGCCUGUGAAAGGGAUUUAAAGAUUUAAAGGGAUUUAAAGCCUGUCUUCAAGGGCUGCUGGGAGGAGUCGGUGAGAUGGAGCACAUCUAGUGCUUGGCGGAGUGCUUGGCACAUACUUGGCCCUGUCGG